This 199-nucleotide unclassified non-coding RNA is filed under the name Conocybe aporos. Its description in RNAcentral is "partial internal transcribed spacer 2". Lineage: Eukaryota; Fungi; Basidiomycota; Agaricomycetes; Agaricales; Bolbitiaceae. The record is from RNAcentral.
AAAUCAUCAAAUCUUUCAUUAUUUGGAAGGUUUGGAUAUGGGAGUGUUGUUGGUCUUUUGUGGUCAGCUCUCCUCAAACGUAUUAGCAGGAAGCUUUUGUAACCGUCUAUUGGUGUGAUAAUUAUCUAUAUCAUUGACAGUUACACUUAGUAUAAGCAUUUUGCUUCUAACUGUCUACUUAUGUGGACAACAUUUGACA